GGAUCCAGACUUUGAUUAUGGCUCAGGAUGAACGCUAGCUACAGGCUUAACACAUGCAAGUCGAGGGGAAACGAUAUUGGAAGCUUGCUUCCGAUAGGCGUCGACCGGCGCACGGGUGAGUAACGCGUAUCCAACCUGCCCACCACUUGGGGAUAACCUUGCGAAAGUAAGACUAAUACCCAAUGAUAUCUCUAGAAGACAUCUGAAAGGGAUUAAAGAUUUAUCGGUGAUGGAUGGGGAUGCGUCUGAUUAGCUUGUUGGCGGGGUAACGGCCCACCAAGGCGACGAUCAGUAGGGGUUCUGAGAGGAAGGUCCCCCACAUUGGAACUGAGACACGGUCCAAACUCCUACGGGAGGCAGCAGUGAGGAAUAUUGGUCAAUGGGCGAGAGCCUGAACCAGCCAAGUAGCGUGCAGGAUGACGGCCCUAUGGGUUGUAAACUGCUUUUAUAAGGGAAUAAAGUGAGUCUCGUGAGACUUUUUGCAUGUACCUUAUGAAUAAGGACCGGCUAAUUCCGUGCCAGCAGCCGCGGUAAUACGGAAGGUCCGGGCGUUAUCCGGAUUUAUUGGGUUUAAAGGGAGCGUAGGCCGGAGAUUAAGCGUGUUGUGAAAUGUAGACGCUCAACGUCUGCACUGCAGCGCGAACUGGUUUCCUUGAGUACGCACAAAGUGGGCGGAAUUCGUGGUGUAGCGGUGAAAUGCUUAGAUAUCACGAAGAACUCCGAUUGCGAAGGCAGCUCACUGGAGCGCAACUGACGCCGAAGCUCGAAAGUGCGGGUAUCGAACAGGAUUAGAUACCCUGGUAGUCCGCACGGUAAACGAUGGAUGCCCGCUGUUGGUCUGAAUAGGUCAGCGGCCAAGCGAAAGCAUUAAGCAUCCCACCUGGGGAGUACGCCGGCAACGGUGCAACUCAAAUGAAUUGACGG
RNAcentral lists this ribosomal RNA (924 nucleotides) under uncultured Bacteroidota bacterium. RNAcentral's name for it is "bacterial SSU rRNA". It matches the Rfam family "Bacterial small subunit ribosomal RNA", at positions 1 to 916 of the family's 1533-position model. The record is from RNAcentral. Lineage: Bacteria; Pseudomonadati; Bacteroidota.